This 301-nucleotide ribosomal RNA is filed under the name uncultured bacterium. RNAcentral describes it as "partial 16S ribosomal RNA". It matches the Rfam family "Bacterial small subunit ribosomal RNA", at positions 509 to 809 of the family's 1533-position model. The record is from RNAcentral.
CAGUCGCCACGGUAAUACAGAGGGUGCGAGCGUUAAUCGGAUUUACUGGGCGUAAAGCGUGCGUAGGCGGCUUCUUAAGUCGGAUGUGAAAUCCCUGAGCUUAACUUAGGAAUUGCAUUCGAUACUGGGAAGCUAGAGUAUGGGAGAGGAUGGUAGAAUUCCAGGUGUAGCGGUGAAAUGCGUAGAGAUCUGGAGGAAUACCGAUGGCGAAGGCAGCCAUCUGGCCUAAUACUGACGCUGAGGUACGAAAGCAUGGGGAGCAAACAGGAUUAGAUACCCCAGUAGUCCCUGUCCUUAUACA